This 484-nucleotide ribosomal RNA is filed under the name uncultured bacterium. Its description in RNAcentral is "partial 16S ribosomal RNA". It matches the Rfam family "Bacterial small subunit ribosomal RNA", at positions 28 to 507 of the family's 1533-position model. The record is from RNAcentral.
AUCGAACGCUGGCGGCAUGCCUUACACAUGCAAGUCGAACGGCAGCGUGGGCUUCGGCCUGGCGGCGAGUGGCGAACGGGUGAGUAAUGCAUCGGAACGGGCCCAGCAGCGGGGGAUAGCCCGGCGAAAGCCGGAUUAAUAUCGCAUACGACCUGAGGGUGAAACCGGGGGACCGAAAGGCCUCGCGCCUUUGGAGCGGCCGAUGUCGGAUUAGCUAGCUGGUGGGGUAAAGGCUCUACAAGGCCACGAUCCGUAGCUGGACUGAGGGGACGGCCAGCCACACUGGAACAGAGACACAGCCCAGACUCCUACGCGACGCAGCAGUGGGGAAUUUUGGACGAUGGGGGAGACCCUGAUCCAGCCAUGCCGCCUGCGGGAAGAAGGCCUUCGGGUUGUAAACCGCUUUUGUUCGGGGAAAACUCCUCUGGGCUAAUACCCCAGGAGGAUGACGGUACCGGGAGAAUAAGCACCGGCUAACUACGUG